AACGGUGUUAAUGGCAAGGGUGAACACCUCUUAUCCAUUCCGAACAGAGUCGUUAAGCCCCUUAGCGCCGAUGGUACUGCGGUCAAACGUGGAAGAGUAGGUCGAUGCCGGAU
This 113-nucleotide ribosomal RNA is filed under the name Eisenibacter elegans. The record is from RNAcentral. Lineage: Bacteria; Pseudomonadati; Bacteroidota; Cytophagia; Cytophagales; Microscillaceae.